GCUGACGAGCGGCGGACGGGUGAGUAAUGCCUGGGAAUAUGCCUUAGUGUGGGGGAUAACUAUUGGAAACGAUAGCUAAUACCGCAUAACGUCUUCGGACCAAAGAGGGGGACCUUCGGGCCUCUCGCGCUAAGAUUAGCCCAGGUGGGAUUAGCUAGUUGGUGAGGUAAAGGCUCACCAAGGCAACGAUCCCUAGCUGGUCUGAGAGGAUGAUCAGCCACACUGGAACUGAGACACGGUCCAGACUCCUACGGGAGGCAGCAGUGGGGAAUAUUGCACAAUGGGGGAAACCCUGAUGCAGCCAUGCCGCGUGUAUGAAGAAGGCCUUCGGGUUGUAAAGUACUUUCAGUCGUGAGGAAGAGUGUGUAGUUAAUAGCUGCAUGGUUUGACGUUAGCGACAGAAGAAGCACCGGCUAACUCCGUGCCAGCAGCCGCGGUAAUACGGAGGGUGCGAGCGUUAAUCGGAAUUACUGGGCGUAAAGCGCAUGCAGGCGGUCUGUUAAGCAAGAUGUGAAAGCCCGGGGCUCAACCUCGGAACCGCAUUUUGAACUGGCAGA
This 557-nucleotide ribosomal RNA is filed under the name Photobacterium sp. 4T3-2 S1-2. RNAcentral describes it as "bacterial SSU rRNA". It matches the Rfam family "Bacterial small subunit ribosomal RNA", at positions 87 to 640 of the family's 1533-position model. Lineage: Bacteria; Pseudomonadati; Pseudomonadota; Gammaproteobacteria; Vibrionales; Vibrionaceae. The record is from RNAcentral.